AUUGAACGCUGGCGGCAUGCCUUACACAUGCAAGUCGAACGGCAGCACGGGUGCUUGCACCUGGUGGCGAGUGGCGAACGGGUGAGUAAUACAUCGGAACAUGUCCCGUAGUGGGGGAUAGCCCGGCGAAAGCCGGAUUAAUACCGCAUACGAUCUACGGAUGAAAGCGGGGGACCUUCGGGCCUCGCGCUUUAGGGUUGGCCGAUGGCUGAUUAGCUCGUUGGUGGGGUAAAGGCCUACCAAGGCGACGAUCAGUAGCUGGUCUGAGAGGACGAGCAGCCACACUGGGACUGAGACACGGCCCAGACUCCUACGGGAGGCAGCAGUGGGGAAUUUUGGACAAUGGACGAAAGCCUGAUCCAGCAAUGCCGCGUGUGUGAAGAAGGCCUUCGGGUUGUAAAGCACUUUUGUCCGGAAAGAAAUCCUUGGCCCUAAUACGGUCGGGGGAUGACGGUACCGGAAGAAUAAGCACCGGCUAACUACGUG
RNAcentral lists this ribosomal RNA (486 nucleotides) under uncultured bacterium. RNAcentral describes it as "partial 16S ribosomal RNA". It matches the Rfam family "Bacterial small subunit ribosomal RNA", at positions 30 to 507 of the family's 1533-position model. The record is from RNAcentral.